CGCGACCCCAGGUCAGGUGGGAUUACCCGCUGAGUUUAAGCAUAUAAAU
Molecule: ribosomal RNA, 49 nt
Filed under: Panicum repens
Lineage: Eukaryota; Viridiplantae; Streptophyta; Magnoliopsida; Poales; Poaceae
Description: partial 26S ribosomal RNA
Source: RNAcentral